Molecule: ribosomal RNA, 1450 nt
Filed under: Salmonella enterica subsp. enterica serovar Copenhagen
Lineage: Bacteria; Pseudomonadati; Pseudomonadota; Gammaproteobacteria; Enterobacterales; Enterobacteriaceae
Description: bacterial LSU rRNA
Rfam family: Bacterial large subunit ribosomal RNA
Source: RNAcentral
GGGUUGUGAGGUUAAGCGACUAAGCGUACACGGUGGAUGCCCUGGCAGUCAGAGGCGAUGAAGGACGUGCUAAUCUGCGAUAAGCGCCGGUAAGGUGAUAUGAACCGUUAUAACCGGCGAUUUCCGAAUGGGGAAACCCAGUGUGAUUCGUCACACUAUCAUUAACUGAAUCCAUAGGUUAAUGAGGCGAACCGGGGGAACUGAAACAUCUAAGUACCCCGAGGAAAAGAAAUCAACCGAGAUUCCCCCAGUAGCGGCGAGCGAACGGGGAGGAGCCCAGAGCCUGAAUCAGCAUGUGUGUUAGUGGAAGCGUCUGGAAAGGUGCGCGAUACAGGGUGACAGCCCCGUACACAAAAGCGCAUGUGCUGUGAGCUCGAUGAGUAGGGCGGGACACGUGGUAUCCUGUCUGAAUAUGGGGGGACCAUCCUCCAAGGCUAAAUACUCCUGACUGACCGAUAGUGAACCAGUACCGUGAGGGAAAGGCGAAAAGAACCCCGGCGAGGGGAGUGAAAAAGAACCUGAAACCGUGUACGUACAAGCAGUGGGAGCACCCUUCGGGGUGUGACUGCGUACCUUUUGUAUAAUGGGUCAGCGACUUAUAUUCUGUAGCAAGGUUAACCGUAUAGGGGAGCCGUAGGGAAACCGAGUCUUAACCGGGCGUUAAGUUGCAGGGUAUAGACCCGAAACCCGGUGAUCUAGCCAUGGGCAGGUUGAAGGUUGGGUAACACUAACUGGAGGACCGAACCGACUAAUGUUGAAAAAUUAGCGGAUGACCUGUGGCUGGGGGUGAAAGGCCAAUCAAACCGGGAGAUAGCUGGUUCUCCCCGAAAGCUAUUUAGGUAGCGCCUCGUGAAUUCAUCUCCGGGGGUAGAGCACUGUUUCGGCUAGGGGGCCAUCCCGGCUUACCAACCCGAUGCAAACUGCGAAUACCGGAGAAUGUUAUCACGGGAGACACACGGCGGGUGCUAACGUCCGUCGUGAAGAGGGAAACAACCCAGACCGCCAGCUAAGGUCCCAAAGUCAUGGUUAAGUGGGAAACGAUGUGGGAAGGCCCAGACAGCCAGGAUGUUGGCUUAGAAGCAGCCAUCAUUUAAAGAAAGCGUAAUAGCUCACUGGUCGAGUCGGCCUGCGCGGAAGAUGUAACGGGGCUAAACCAUGCACCGAAGCUGCGGCAGCGAACGUAUCACCCAAGACAACUUUACGGAGUUGACGAUUGACGGAGCGAAGCGACGUCAAAGCGUUCAUUAAAGUCGAGUUGGCUUAGGGAUACGUUCGUUGGGUAGGGGAGCGUUCUGUAAGCCUGUGAAGGUGUGUCGUGAGGCAUGCUGGAGGUAUCAGAAGUGCGAAUGCUGACAUAAGUAACGAUAAAGCGGGUGAAAAGCCCGCUCGCCGGAAGACCAAGGGUUCCUGUCCAACGUUAAUCGGGGCAGGGUGAGUCGACCCCUAAGGC